RNAcentral lists this transfer RNA (90 nucleotides) under Candidatus Nitrosotalea sp. TS. It matches the Rfam family "tRNA". Rfam says of the family: Transfer RNA (tRNA) molecules are approximately 80 nucleotides in length. Their secondary structure includes four short double-helical elements and three loops (D, anti-codon, and T loops). Further hydrogen bonds mediate the characteristic L-shaped molecular structure. tRNAs have two regions of fundamental functional importance: the anti-codon, which is responsible for specific mRNA codon recognition, and the 3' end, to which the tRNAs corresponding amino acid is attached (by aminoacyl-tRNA synthetases). tRNAs cope with the degeneracy of the genetic code in two manners: having more than one tRNA (with a specific anti-codon) for a particular amino acid; and 'wobble' base-pairing, i.e. permitting non-standard base-pairing at the 3rd anti-codon position. The record is from Rfam by way of RNAcentral. Lineage: Archaea; Thermoproteati; Nitrososphaerota; Nitrososphaeria; Nitrosotaleales; Nitrosotaleaceae.
GGGUCUAUGGCUCAGCCAGGUAGAGCGAGGGACUCUUAUGAUCAUUUCGGAGACAUCCCUAUGUCGUGGGUUCAAAUCCCACUAGACCCG